CCCAACGGGCGCCGCGGCAGCGAUCGGAGCGCCAUUAGCCCUGAGGCGGCUGUGCGGGGUGGACGUAGGGCGUGUGGCGGCGGCGGCGGCGCGGCUCCCGGGGGCGACGGGCGUGGACGCGGGGCGACUACAUACCCUUGAGUGAUGCAGGCCAGUGCAGUGGUGGAAGCAGCUUCUGAUAAAGGCUACCACAGUAAUGGAGGAAACCUCCAAAAAGAAAAACCUUCUAAAACUAAGAAAGAAAAUUUGUUAUCUUCGAAUGGCUGUAAUGCAGUCAAAUUGACUUUUCCUGAUGAUGACUGGGAUUCCUUGGCACUAGAGCAAAGAGCUAAUGACAAAGAAAUUGGCAAUAUUGACAAAAUAGAUUUAUUGGACCCAUCUUUUUCAGUGAGUCAAGAUACUAACAGAGAGAGUACUCAGUCUCCGUCAAGUGAGUUUGAAGACAGUACUAACUAUGCUUCCUUAAAUGAAACAUACUCUAUUCAUUAUUCAGAGUCAAAACUAAAGCAUGAAAGUCUUAUUCUUUUAAGUUCAGAAUUAGAUCCUGAAAUGCAGAAAAGAAAGGAGAUGUUUCUUGAUAUUUUAGAACAUCAAGGUAAUAAGACUGUUGACUUCGAAAGAAUCUACAAGAUUUCAGAUGGUGAAUAUAAAGAAACUGCUGAAGAUAUGCAAAAGCAUGAUACAGAUGAAGACUCACAGCAGGAAUAUCACAGUGCAGAAGAACAAGAAUAUAUAAAUAAUCAUUUAUCUUUUGAUCAUACAAAAACAUUAAGUAUAUCUAAUCUGGAAGUUGUUGAAUUAAGAAAGUCGGGUUAUGAAGUUAAAUGUGCUAGCAAUCUAGAAGAUAAUCAUGUUAAGUUGGAAAGUGGUUCCAUCUUUUCUUUAGAUUCACUUGAUGUUUAUGGAGAAGAAGAUUCACCUCAUAUCUCCAAAUUUCAGAAUUCUGUCAUGUUAAGAGAAUAUUAUGAACCAAAGCAUGAAAGGUGUAAGGAACAAGAGACUAAUUUAAUGUACCACACAGUAUUUGAUGACUGUAUACUAAGAAGCAGUUCUCUUGGAAACCAGGAAUCUCAAUCUAAGAGUGGUUUCUUGAACCCUCAAAAAGCAUUAAAAACUAAAAUUUACACUGAAAAAACAAAAUCUCAAAUAACUGAAAGUAAAGAUUUUUGUGGAAAUACAAUUGUUGAGAACAAAAUAUUACAGCACCUUAAAAAUUCUAGUGCAUUACCACAAGACAAAGCUUUAGAGACAUUACUACAACCCUGUAAAGAUUGUCAAACUUCCUGGACCUCUGUUUUUGAUGAUUCAGUAAUUUCUUCCUGUGAAUAUUCACAUUAUAAAAGCCUACAAAACACCCCUGACCCAGCCUUAGGUUUUUCUAUUACACUACCAAGGGAUACAGUCAGAGAUACUCAGGCAAAAGAAGAAGGUAGCUCCCCAAAAGUUGCCAGUAGCAAUGCCACAAAUAAAACAUGCUUUGACAGUAUGGCAGGAAUAAAUCCUAAAUCAGUGACAGAUGCAGCAAGUUGUCCAGUCACAAUUAAUCAGACUGUAGAUGUUAGCGCUGAUUUUAGGGCUUGUUUCACAACAAGCAGGGCAACAAGUGCAAGAUCUUCUGUAGUAUCUACAUCGAGCAACACAGAGAUUACAAUGAUGAAUAAAAAACGGCCUGGUGAAUGGCAGAGUGAGCAACAAAGAAGUGUGGCUUGUAAUACAGAGUGGUCAUGCAGUCAAGACUGUGUAGAUGCUCAGGUGGCUAUGAUAAAAGGAUCAGGAAACUCUCCCUCAGUUGACAGUUUAAAACCUAACGGAAAUUUUCUAAAUAAGGAUUCCCUGGAAUUAAGAAAAACAUCUGAUAUCACAGACUUAAAGAAAUAUCCUGAGAGGGAAUUUCAACUUUUUAAAGAGAUGGAGAAUUUGCCGUCAGUGUGCUGUCAGAAAAUAAUGCAGAGAGCCAUGAAAGCAGAGCUGCAGCUUUUAAAUGUUCACUAUCAGAUGUGUCAUCGUCAUUGUUGUGAUAUUUACAAACUUGUAAUGGAAAAUAGGGAGGGAUUAAAUAGGAAUUUAUCAAGUAAUUCUGCUAAGAAGGAAUUAGGAUCGGCACUACUAUCUCUUUUGGGAGACUUAAAAGUUAGAUAUGAGAGUUUGAAAGAAAAAAUACACAAGGGCAUACCACUGGAAGAGCUGCCUCCACUGUCAGUAGAAUCAAAAUUGUUAUCUACCUUCUCUACUUUUGCUUCCAGGCUGAUGAAAGAAGAAUCACAUGUCUUUUCAGGAGCAGAUUCUGAAAUAGAUAAUCAAAGUGCUCAGGAUGUUGAUGUUUCAUCGAACCUAAAAAAGACACUCUCUCAAAUAUCUUUGUUACCUGACAAUAGUCAUCAUAUACCAGAUAUAUCACCCAAAAAAGAUUGUUUAAAAAAUGGUGAUAUAAAUGUAGACUUUGAUCAACUGAAACUUGAUGAUAAAGACUGUAGAAAUUACCAAGAAAUAAGUCAAGACUGGUUUGAUGCUAAAGAAAACCUGACAGGAGUUGACUUCUCAGGAAUACAAGAAAAUCAAAUAGAACAAGAUAGAUGGAAUCCGAAGUUUACAUUAGAAAUGAAUGUUGAACCCUUACGAAGAGAUAAAGGUUAUUUGAUACAUGUUGGUGGUCUCUGCCCUUCAGUAUCUGAGGCUGAUUUAAGAUCUCAUUUCCAGAGAUACCAAGUUUCUGAAAUUUCAAUUUACGAUUCUUCUAAUUACAGAUAUGCAUCUCUUGCUUUCAAAAAAAACAGUGAUGCAAAGAUGGCUGUGAAAGAAAUGAAUGGGCUAGAAAUAAAUGGAAAAUCAGUAAAUGUGCGACUUGUUAAAACUCCUGGAGAAUACCCAUCACCACUUGCCUCCAAAUAUGGGAAUAAAACUAGUUUGAAUAAUUUGGAGAAAAGCACCAACAACGAAAUCAACUCAGCCAUUCCUGUUUCUAGAUUGCCCAGAACUCGGGCAAGGCAGCUGGGAUCUGAGCAAGAUAGCGAGUUUUUUUCUUUUGACCAAAAGGGUGUCAAGAAGAAUUGUAAACAGAUUGAAUCUGCUAAAUUAUUACCUGAUGCACCUAUUAGAUUCAUACCUCCAAAUACAUUGAACUUGCGUAGCUUCACCAAGAUCAUGAAGAGACUGGCUGAACUACAUCCAGAAGUCAGCAGAGACCAUAUUAUAGAAGCUCUUCAGGAAGUAAGAAUAAGUCAUAAAGGUUUUCUGAAUGGCUUAUCUAUUAAUACUAUUGUGGAAAUGACUUCAUCUGUUCUGAAAAAUUCUGCUUCCAGUUAGGAAUAAAAACAAGAGAACUGCCUCAGCCAUCUCAACCUUUAGCAGCGACAACCCUGGUCAGUCAACAGCCAUCAACAGUGAAGCAGGACCCUCCACCAGCAAAAAGAUUGACUCACCAAAGGCUUACAUGAUAAUUAGCAAUAAAAUAUUUUAAAAUUAAGGAUUUCUUUGGAAAGCAUGAGUUUCCUGCUUCAGAGACUGUUCUACUUUUUUGCUAGAAAAAAGUAAUAGCAAAAUGAUAUAAUUAAAUAGGCUCUAUAAAUGGAUGUAGCUGUAAAAAUAUUCUACUUUAUAGCCCUCCUUUAAAAUCUAGCAACAUUUGCUUCUAUAAUAUUAAGAUCUUCUCUUUAAAAAAAAUAAAAUUUUAAUAAGUUACAAAACUUUAAUUUGAACUUGUUAGAGACUUCAAGCUGCAUAUUUUGGAUUAGAAAAAAUAGUCUUGUCCACUUAAAAAACUUUUAUUAAAUUGGUUCUUUAAAAUAUUGACUGAGAAAUCAAUAUUGAAAUCAUUUGUGAAAUGAUUUUAAUACAUUAAAAAAAAUGUAAUUUACCUGAAAUUUAUGUCUUAGUUACCGUUUUCAGUUGUCUUAAGACUCUUACAUUGGACCAUAGGAUAAUAGAUAAAUAAACUGAAUCUAUAGAUAAACAACAUUUUGGAACGUGUAUAUUUUUAACCUUCCAAGAUAAUUAAAUUACUGCUGUGAUAACAUUUGAUGCAUUUUUAUGACCUCAGUAUAAACCAUUCAAGUGUAUUUUGAUUUUCACUGGGAAUGAUGAACCCAUGAGUGCUUUGGUAAAGUACUUAAAUUUAAAUGGUCGCCAUAUUGCUUGCAUCCAUUUUGUGAGAAGCUAUGUUGUAUUAGGUUAGAGUGUAAAUUAGAACAAUUUUAAAAGGCUAAUUUUGUGCUUUAAUAGCAAUAUUGAAUAUAAGCUUCUUUAAUUGCUUUUUAAAAAUAACAUACUGUUUAAAGUUGCAUUUUUACUAAUAGUAAGAUUAACAUUUAAGUAUGCUUUUUCUUCAAAUGUUUAAAAUGUUUAAAACAUCCAAUAUUUAGUUGGUGUCACUUGAUUAAAAAUUACCCAUUUAACAUUUAUAUUUGAUGUAUUUAUAUUUAAUAAAGGCAGCUAAUUUGUA
Non-coding RNA from Microcebus murinus (gray mouse lemur), 4438 nucleotides. The record is from RefSeq and is a predicted model, not a curated record. Lineage: Eukaryota; Metazoa; Chordata; Mammalia; Primates; Cheirogaleidae.